Molecule: ribosomal RNA, 490 nt
Filed under: uncultured bacterium
Lineage: Bacteria
Description: bacterial SSU rRNA
Rfam family: Bacterial small subunit ribosomal RNA
Source: RNAcentral
AGAGUUUGAUCAGUGGCUACAGGACGAACGCUGGCGGCGUGCUUAACACAUGCAAGUCGAACGGAAAGGCCCUGCUUUUGUGGGGUGCUCGAGUGGCGAACGGGUGAGUAACACGUGAGUAACCUGCCCUUGACUUUGGGAUAACUUCAGGAAACUGGGGCUAAUACCGGAUAGGAGCUCCUGCUGCAUGGUGGGGGUUGGAAAGUUUCGGCGGUUGGGGAUGGACUCGCGGCUUAUCAGCUUGUUGGUGGGGUAGUGGCUUACCAAGGCUUUGACGGGUAGCCGGCCUGAGAGGGUGACCGGCCACAUUGGGACUGAGAUACGGCCCAGACUCCUACGGGAGGCAGCAGUGGGGAAUAUUGCACAAUGGGCGGAAGCCUGAUGCAGCAACGCCGCGUGCGGGAUGACGGCCUUCGGGUUGUAAACCGCUUUCGCCUGUGACGAAGCGUGAGUGACGGUAAUGGGUAAAGAAGCACCGGCUAACUACGUG